Molecule: RNA transcript, 2558 nt
Organism: Scylla paramamosain (green mud crab)
Lineage: Eukaryota; Metazoa; Arthropoda; Malacostraca; Decapoda; Portunidae
Exons: 3
Source: RefSeq, a predicted model, not a curated record
UCCUUCCUGUAGUGUCUUUUAGCUGCUUAUUAAAGAUUUUGUUCGUUAUUUAGGUAUUUCAUGAGGUAAUUGAUUUAUUUUUAGGUUUUGUUUACGUCUGAGUCUGGAAACAGCUGGAAAUUUAAGCGAAUAUUGAAGAGUUGUCAACAUGUAAACAAGCUGUCAGCUGAGGUACGGGCAGGGCGUCGGUGUUUUUAGUCAUUAUUUGCUUCGCCUCUCACUUAUUGUAAGCCUAACAUGUCACAAGAUAGGGUCACUUGUCUAGCUUUCAUAUUCGCUGGUCAUAUGUAUCCGCCAUUGCCUGGUUUUGGUGUCACAAAGCAAUAAAUAAGGCAACAUGGCCGCCGGCUCCUCCACUGAGGUCGGGGCCGAGGACCUGUUCCGGCCUGUUGGUUCCAAUAUUUUUUAUAUUUUCCUUAAUUACUUUAUUUGGCUUCUAUAGUAAAUUUUUAUGGUUUGUAAAAUUAUUUCGUUGGUGUUGAAGUGUUUUUCUUGCUUCAGUGAAGUAAAUGGGCUGAAUUUUCUGCAGUUUUUCAACGUAAAUAUAGGGCCGUUUUCACGGUUACUUUUACCCACCCCGGUUCAUGGCUUUUUUAUUUGAGGCUGUAGUGAAGGUAUUAUUGUUUUAAAAAAUCGUUUAUGAUUUUUAAAAUGUUUUGCGUUCCUGUUGAGUUGAGUAUGUACAUUUUGAAAUAGUUUUUAGUCCCGUUAAAGGUGUUGAUUUGGCCAUUUUUUACAUUCUUUAUUUCUCUAUUUCAGCUUGUAACUAACUUUGCAUUGUUUGAAAAAAUAGUUCAGAUUUUUUAAAAUGUUUUUUUAAUGGUGCAACGUGAAAUGGGCGGACUUUUGAAUGGUUUUAAUGGUGUCAAAGGUUCCAACACUUUUUCCAUAUUUCUUUUGAUAUUUCUUUACAACUACUCAGGCUGGAGAUGUUUUGGUAUUGUGAAUAUUAAUUUGAGUAAUUAUCAAUUCAGAAAAUAUAAUGCAUUCCAGCCUAGCUUCAUUUUUUCUAGGGGUCAAUUUUAAAAUGAAAUACGUUACGUACGUAAGCCAGCGGCCGAGCCUGUGACGUCAUCAACUGGGGGGACUUGUCCAGCUCCAGUGUCUCUUGGUCAAUAUUUACCGGUGCAGAGCUUGGGAUACCACACGGAGGGGGCUGAAGGAGCCUUGGAGAUGCCUGAAGGAGGGGCAGUGUAGGAGGGAGACCUGGAGGUGAAGGAAAUGCAGAAAAUUCCUCUAAUACUGAACGCUUCUCUGCUCAGACCAUCCUUCAUUGAAUAUUUGAGCUGAGGCUUCGAGAUAUGAGGGGGCAAAGCUUGGGAUACCACACAGAGAGGGGCGAAGGAGCCUUGUGGAUGCCUGAAGGAGGGGCAGUGAAGGAGUGAGGCCUGGAGGUGAAGGAAAUGCAGAAAAUUCCUUCAAUACUGAGCGCUUCUCUGGUGAGACCAUCCUUCACUGAAUAUUUGAACCGAGGCUUCGAGAUACGUGGUGAGAAUUCGUUUUUUAGUGUUUGAAGGCAGUUUUAAGUGUUUGUAGGUGUUUUUAGGCUGUUUUAAUGUUUUAUUUUUUAGUAUUUUAGGUUUGUGGAAGGAAGGUGAAAGCUUAAUUUAUAUAUUAUAUAAUAUUUUAUAAUAAUAUAUGAUGUGUACACAGUUUCAACCAUAGGAUUUUGUAAUGUCAUUAUUAUCCUUAGAACAAUGUACUAUGCCCACAUAUACCCACACCUACAAUAUUGUAAUCCAAUAUGGGCUAACACUCAACCUACACACCUAAAUUGCAUAAACCUCAUUCAUAAAAAAAUAAUACGGAUUAUCACAAAAAGUUCAUAUCUUGAACACACAGCUCCACUCUUUAAAGGCAUGAACAUUCUAAAACUCGAAGACAUAACAAAACUUUCCAUUGCAACAUCUAUGUACAAAAAACAAAUUAAUGUCUCUCUUCCACCACAUGAAUACACAACACGACAAAGACAACGCCUUUGUCUACCUACCCAUCGCCUUAGUAUCUUCUGCCGCUCGACUUCCUACCUAGGCCCCUCAAUAUGGAAUUCUCUACCCUCGCAAUACAAAAAUGUCCACUCUAUUCACAAUUUCAAAAGCAAACUAAAGAGUCAUUUUCUGGAUGCAUACUAAUCAGUCACUUCCUACACUCAUACCUUAUAUUACUUCCCCCCUGAUCUUACAAAACUAACCCUACAAAACUUUAUCAUCUUUCCUGUACUUUAUUUUUAAACACAUCUAUAUGAUUUCAGUCUCAUAUAUGUAUCAAUUUAUAUCACCUAACCCUAUGUGUCAUCCCAUCCAUCUUCAUACUCAACUUUAUAACAAUAUAGAUAUAUUUAUUCUGUAUAAACCUUAUCAUAUUAUGUUUUUAUUUAUCUUCAUGAUAGAUUUUUCGAUUUUAAGUUGUCUAUUGUGUUUACUUUAAGUAAUGUACUUUUAAAUUUUUCAUUUGCCUGAAAAGCAUCAAGCUUAUACAUAGGCUGGCCAAUAAUGUAUACCUAUCCAAUAAUGAAAUGUAUAAACCUAGGCUAUAAUAAAGUGUUUAAAGUGUUUAAA